RNAcentral lists this ribosomal RNA (495 nucleotides) under uncultured Glomus. Its description in RNAcentral is "SSU rRNA". It matches the Rfam family "Eukaryotic small subunit ribosomal RNA", at positions 569 to 1069 of the family's 1831-position model. The record is from RNAcentral. Lineage: Eukaryota; Fungi; Glomeromycota; Glomeromycetes; Glomerales; Glomeraceae.
AGCAGCCGCGGUAAUUCCAGCUCCAAUAGCGUAUAUUAAAGUUGUUGCAGUUAAAAAGCUCGUAGUUGAAUUUCGGGAUCAAUUUGCUGGUCGUGCCUCUGGUACGUACUGGUAUUAUUGGUUUCUCCCUUCUGACGAACCAUGAUGUCAUUAAUUUGAUGUCGUGGAGAAUCAGGACUGUUACUUUGAAAAAUUAGAGUGUUUAAAGCAGGCAUUAGCUUGAAUACAUUAGCAUGGAAUAAUGAAAUAGGACGUUUGAUCCUAUUUUGUUGGUUUCUAGGAUUGACGUAAUGAUUAAUAGGGAUAGUUGGGGGCAUUAGUAUUCAAUUGUCAGAGGCGAAAUUCUUGGAUUUAUUGAAGACUAACUACUGCGAAAGCAUUUGCCAAGGAUGUUUUCAUUAAUCAAGAACGAAAGUUAGGGGAUCGAAGACGAUCAGAUACCGUCGUAGUCUUAACCAUAAACUAUGCCGACUAGGGAUCGGAUGAUGUUAAUUU